CCUACGGGAGGCAGCAGUGAGGAAUAUUGGUCAAUGGACGAGAGUCUGAACCAGCCAAGUAGCGUGAAGGAUGACUGCCCUAUGGGUUGUAAACUUCUUUUAUAUGGGAAUAAAAUGUUCCACGUGUGGGAUUUUGUAUGUACCAUAUGAAUAAGGAUCGGCUAACUCCGUGCCAGCAGCCGCGGUAAUACGGAGGAUCCGAGCGUUAUCCGGAUUUAUUGGGUUUAAAGGGAGCGUAGGUGGAUUGUUAAGUCAGUUGUGAAAGUUUGCGGCUCAACCGUAAAAUUGCAGUUGAAACUGGCAGUCUUGAGUACAGUAGAGGUGGGCGGAAUUCGUUGUGUAGCGGUGAAAUGCUUAGAUAUCACGAAGAACUCCGAUUGCGAAGGCAGUUCACUGGACUGCAACUGACACUGAGGCUCGAAAGUGUGGGUAUCAAACAGGAUUAGAUACCCCUGUAGUC
This 460-nucleotide ribosomal RNA is filed under the name uncultured bacterium. RNAcentral's name for it is "partial 16S ribosomal RNA". It matches the Rfam family "Bacterial small subunit ribosomal RNA", at positions 338 to 795 of the family's 1533-position model. The record is from RNAcentral.